Molecule: ribosomal RNA, 230 nt
Filed under: uncultured bacterium
Lineage: Bacteria
Description: partial 16S ribosomal RNA
Rfam family: Bacterial small subunit ribosomal RNA
Source: RNAcentral
UUGAACGCUGGCGGCAUGCCUUACACAUGCAAGUCGAACGGUAGAGGGGCAACCCUUGAGAGUGGCGAACGGGUGAGUAAUGCAUCGGAACGUGCCCAGUCGUGGGGGAUAACGCAGCGAAAGCUGUGCUAAUACCGCAUGUGAUCUGUGGAUGAAAGCAGGGGACCGCAAGGCCUUGUGCGAUUGGAGCGGCCGAUGUCAGAUUAGCUAGUUGGUAGGGUAAAAGCCUA